Molecule: ribosomal RNA, 207 nt
Filed under: uncultured bacterium
Lineage: Bacteria
Description: partial 16S ribosomal RNA
Rfam family: Bacterial small subunit ribosomal RNA
Source: RNAcentral
AGCGUAGACGGCUGUGUAAGUCUGAAGUGAAAGCCCGGGGCUCAACCCCGGGACUGCUUUGGAAACUAUGCAGCUAGAGUGUCGGAGAGGUAAGUGGAAUUCCCAGUAUAGCGGUGAAAUGCGUAGAUAUUGGGAGGAACACCAGUGGCGAAGGCGGCUUACUGGACGAUGACUGACGUUGAGGCUCGAAAGCGUGGGGAGCAAACA